AGUUCCAUGGUGUAAUGGUUAACACUCCAGAUUUUGAAUCUGGCGAUCCGAGUUCAAGUCUUGGUGGAACCU
RNAcentral lists this transfer RNA (72 nucleotides) under Clytia hemisphaerica. RNAcentral's name for it is "tRNA-Gln for anticodon UUG". It matches the Rfam family "tRNA". From Rfam's summary of the family: Transfer RNA (tRNA) molecules are approximately 80 nucleotides in length. Their secondary structure includes four short double-helical elements and three loops (D, anti-codon, and T loops). Lineage: Eukaryota; Metazoa; Cnidaria; Hydrozoa; Leptothecata; Clytiidae. The record is from Rfam by way of RNAcentral.